AUCCCAUGAUGAGGACACUUACAAAGUAAAUCCUUAAAUCUUUCCCCAUGCCUUGUAUAAGGAUUCGUCAUCCAAUUGUGAAAAAAUGGUUAUCUCAUUUUCCAACUU
This is a non-coding RNA of Gossypium hirsutum (cotton), 108 nucleotides long. The record is from Rfam. Lineage: Eukaryota; Viridiplantae; Streptophyta; Magnoliopsida; Malvales; Malvaceae.